This 395-nucleotide long non-coding RNA is filed under the name Homo sapiens (human). RNAcentral describes it as "non-protein coding lnc-CLMP-6:1". Lineage: Eukaryota; Metazoa; Chordata; Mammalia; Primates; Hominidae. The record is from RNAcentral.
UGGUCUCAAACUCCUGGCCUCAAGCAAUCAGCCCAUCUCAGCCUCCUAAAGUGCUGGGAUUACAGCUGUGAACCACUGUUCCAGCCUUAACUUAUCUUUCAAUCCUGACUUUUCAGUACAUUUUAUCUCGAGUUAUGGCCAUUGACCUAGUUCAGAUAACAUCAAGCUAGAAUAUUAGUGCAGUCUAGGGACCCUCCUCUUUCUUUCUUUUUUUUUUUUUUUUUUUUGUUUUAAGAUGUAGUUUCGCACUGUCGCCCAGGCAGGAGUGCAAUGGUGCAAUCUCGGCUCACUGCAACCUCCACCUCCUGGGUUCAAAUGAUUCUCCUGCCUCAGCUUCCCAAGCAGCUGGGACCACAGGCAUCCACCACCACGCCCAGCUAAUUUUUGUAUUUUUA